CUUCAGGCCAAGUACUAUCAAUCUUUGGCUUAGAGCUACCACUUGCCAUCUCCUAGUUUGGAUCUGGAACAUCUUCCCAAAAGCUCAUAUUUUGAAUGAAUGAUCUCCAUUGCAUGAAGGUUCAAAGCUGGAGGUUCUGAGCAAUGACUAUGGCUCUGACCUUAUCAGUGGAUUCAUAUAUUUGCUGUAUUAAUUCACAAGAGCUGAAGGGACUGUUGGCUGGUAAAUGUUGGCAGUUAAACUGGAGGAAGUGUGCCACCGUGUUCAGGGGUGGGGUGGCCUGACCUUGGAGUAUUGCUGUCCCAGGCCCCUUCUCUCUCCCUCUGCUUCCUGGUUGCUAUAAGGUACAAAACUCAACUCAAAGUGGAUUAAGAUCCUAGGAAUUAAACCAGAGACCCUGCACCUUAUAGAAGAAAAACUAGGCCCAAAUCUUCACCAUGUUGGCUUAGGACCUGACUUCCUUAAUCAGACUCCUAAAGUGGCUACCAGUCAAACCCAGAGGCCUGCACAUGCUAAGAAUGCUG
Marmota monax (woodchuck) is the source of this 524-nucleotide long non-coding RNA. RefSeq lists it as uncharacterized. The transcript is spliced from 3 exons. Lineage: Eukaryota; Metazoa; Chordata; Mammalia; Rodentia; Sciuridae. The record is from RefSeq and is a predicted model, not a curated record.